RNAcentral lists this ribosomal RNA (105 nucleotides) under Erinaceus europaeus (western European hedgehog). The record is from RNAcentral. Lineage: Eukaryota; Metazoa; Chordata; Mammalia; Eulipotyphla; Erinaceidae.
GUCUAUGGCCAUACCACCCUGUAUAUGCCCAAUAUCCUCUGAUCUUGGAAGCCUAGCAGGAUUGGGCUUGGUUAGUAUCGAAUGGGAGAAAGUCCAAUUCCAACC